Molecule: ribosomal RNA, 252 nt
Filed under: uncultured prokaryote
Description: partial 16S ribosomal RNA
Rfam family: Bacterial small subunit ribosomal RNA
Source: RNAcentral
AUACGUAGGGUGCGAGCGUUGUCCGGAAUUAUUGGGCGUAAAGGGCUCGUAGGCGGUUUGUCGCGUCGGGAGUGAAAACACCGGGCUUAACUCGGUGCUUGCUUUCGAUACGGGCAGACUAGAGGUAUUCAGGGGAGAACGGAAUUCCUGGUGUAGCGGUGAAAUGCGCAGAUAUCAGGAGGAACACCGGUGGCGAAGGCGGUUCUCUGGGAAUAUCCUGACGCUGAGGAGCGAAAGUGAGGGGAGCGAACA